Molecule: ribosomal RNA, 422 nt
Filed under: uncultured bacterium
Lineage: Bacteria
Description: bacterial SSU rRNA
Rfam family: Bacterial small subunit ribosomal RNA
Source: RNAcentral
UGAGGAAUAUUGCGCAAUGGACGAAAGUCUGACGCAGCCAUGCCGCGUGCAGGAUGACAGCCCUAUGGGUUGUAAACUGCUUUUCUGCUUUAAGAACCAGCCUUACGUGUAAGGCCUUGACGGUACAGCAGGAAUAAGCAUCGGCUAACUCCGUGCCAGCAGCCGCGGUAAUACGGAGGAUGCAAGCGUUAUCCGGAUUCAUUGGGUUUAAAGCGUGCGCAGGCGGAUGGGUAAGUCAGAGGUGAAAGCCUGCAGCUUAACUGUGGAAUUGCCUUUGAUACUGUCCAUCUUGAGUCCAGCUGAAGUAGGCGGAAUGUAGUAUGUAGCGGUGAAAUGCUUAGAUAUACUACAGAACACCCAUUGCGAAGGCAGCUUACUAAACUGGUACUGACGCUCAGGCACGAAAGCGUGGGGAGCAAACA